RNAcentral lists this long non-coding RNA (209 nucleotides) under Elaeis guineensis (African oil palm). RNAcentral describes it as "long non-coding RNA (EGUI_LNC002773)". The record is from RNAcentral. Lineage: Eukaryota; Viridiplantae; Streptophyta; Magnoliopsida; Arecales; Arecaceae.
GUGAGACAGAGAAAUAUUAAGUUCAAUUUGUUUUCAAAAGAAGAUGGUAAGAAAAAAAUUGAGAUAGGUGGGAGUGAAUUUAGAAAGGAAGAAUUAAAAAUUAAUUAAAAAAUGAAAGAGAUUGGAGAAUAGGGUUUAAGAGAAAUAACUUGCUAGAAACCAAAAUCCAAUAUGAAAAAAAAAAAAGAUAUCUUGUUGACGUCUUUGUG